RNAcentral lists this long non-coding RNA (1114 nucleotides) under Homo sapiens (human). RNAcentral's name for it is "HSALNT0055708". The record is from RNAcentral. Lineage: Eukaryota; Metazoa; Chordata; Mammalia; Primates; Hominidae.
CUUCAUCAAUAUUUGACGAAGACAUGAAUGAAGGGUCCCUUCGUGGCUUCCCAUCCUCUAUGGGACAAAGUCCCAGCUCUUUCAGAGUUGGCCCUGGCUCCAUUUCUUCCUGUUCUCCCACCUCUAAAUUGUGCGUAAGGAAAGCCCACACUGGGUGUGUCUCUGGAUCCUGUACCUGCUUCAUUUUGCUACCUUGAUCUGGAAUAGCCGCCCCUCUUCUGACCUCCUCCCCCCAUGAUGUUGUGUUCCCCUCUGCCACUGCACCUAUGACAUCCCUCUUCUCCACCUGAAUAAACAGAUCUGGAACGUCAUCUGCAGCCAGGCUGAGAAUCUGCCAAAAUUCCCCAGGGAACUGGUGAUUCACCAGCAGCAGGGGAAGAGAGAGGGAACAAGCAAGAGAGAGAGACCUGCUUAUUCUGAUUCUCAUUUCCUGUCCAGCAAAUAACCCAGGCUGGGCUGUUUCUUACGAGACAGCAGUUCUUUGAGUAAAUGAUCAAUUUCUGCAAUAGAACAAAUGAUUUUGAUUUUAAUUUUUAAGAAGAUGGAUGUAAAGCAGGCUAGAGGGAAAUGGUUUCAACUGUCAUUCUGAGAAGGGAGACUUUUAUUCAAGUUGGAUUAGGAAAGCUCUUCCGCAUUCACUUGUUCUUGAAAAAUGUCUCAUCUUAAUUUUCAAGUUCUGUAUGGGCAUUGGUCCUGGCACAAGUGCAUUAUCGUAAGCUGUGGACUUUAGCAUCAACAUUAUUUCUUGCCAAUUUUGAGACUUAGAAUUAUUCUUUUUUUUUUGUGAUCAUUAGGCCCUCACUUAUUUUAAAAAAUUCUACUGGACACCUGAAGAAGAUUAGAUUGAGCUUGGCCAUGUUCGGUGGCCCCAGGCUAUAUUCCUAAUGUGUUUUUUGGGGAGGGGUCAGAAAGGGGACAUAUGAGGGCAGUGGCAUCUGAGAAUGUGGUCAAAUGAAGCAGCAUGAAACAGGGCACUUGGAGCUAAUGGUUUUCAGAUUCAUUUCAACCCUGGGGGACUUGAUUUAAAAGAAAACUACCAGUGUCUGCUAAGGCCAGACAUAUGCAAGCUCAAUGACCUGAGUAGCAAUUCCAUGCCUGGACAUUGCACGCCUGC